CAUUUUGUCAACAAAACAGAAUAAAUAUUUUCACAUCGCUUUCGUUCGGUCUGCAGGCUGAAUAAAAUUUGAUAACUACCUGGGAGAUUUUUAAAGGUACAUUAACUUACAUUCAACUGCAUAAUGAGGAGUCAAAAGAAGCUCUUACUGCCCACGGAAACGAUGGAAAGCGAACAAAACUCCGCUGGUUUCCGAAAUAGGACUGUUGGAUCCAUGGCGGACAAACAGAAAUCAACGGUGGCCACCGUAAUCAUCAAGGUGCAGUUUCGCAUAAUAAAGCCCGCAUGAGAUCCAAGCCCCUGAAGAAGUACUUUCGUUCUGGAGGAACAAUCGGUUCUCCGAUUAUGGGAAUAUAAUCACUAUGAAGGAGCCAUCAGUGUGAUUCAGAAGAUAUUAGUGAACCAGGGCAAAUUUGAAGGCUUAUCCGAAAUAAAACAGCCUUAAAGGAGUUCUGGAAGUCGUUGUUUUUCGCGUCUGGCUGGUUGCAACAAGCAGACAAGCCAUUAUAACUUUCGGACCAAGCUCUCUGCCGUGUUUGGCGCCACACCGCUUUUAAAAACCUCUCCGAUUCUGUCAAAUUUCUUCCAUUGGAAAGAAGAAGGUCUUGUGCCGGAAUAUUGUCAGCUGGUUUUUAUUUUUGUGCUAGUGCUUGGAUGUGAUUUUUUUGUCGAAAAAUAUGUGACGGCCGUUUAGUUCACUAAAAAAGAAAUCUGGA
Molecule: long non-coding RNA, 715 nt
Organism: Uranotaenia lowii
Lineage: Eukaryota; Metazoa; Arthropoda; Insecta; Diptera; Culicidae
Exons: 3
Source: RefSeq, a predicted model, not a curated record